GAUGAACGCUGGCGGUCUGCUUAACACAUGCAAGUCGAACGAACUCUUCGGAGUGAGUGGCGGACGGGUGAGUAACGCGUGAGAAUCUGCCUGUGGGUCGGGGACAACCACUGGAAACGGUGGCUAAUACCGGAUGAGCCGAAAGGUAAAAAAUUUAUUGCCCACAGAUGAGCUCGCGUCUGAUUAGCUAGUUGGUAAGGUAAAAGCGUACCAAGGCGACGAUCAGUAGCUGGUCUGAGAGGAUGAGCAGCCACACUGGGACUGAGACACGGCCCAGACUCCUACGGGAGGCAGCAGUGGGGAAUUUUCCGCAAUGGGCGAAAGCCUGACGGAGCAAGACCGCGUGGGGGAGGAAGGUUUUUGGAUCGUAAACCCCUUUUGUCAAGGAAGGAGUUCUGACGGUACUUGACGAAUAAGCCUCGGCUAACUCCGUGCCAGCAGCCGCGGUAAUACGGAGGAGGCAAGCGUUAUCCGGAAUGAUUGGGCGUAAAGCGUCUGUAGGUGGCCAGCUAAGUCUGCUGUUAAAGAUCACAGCUCAACUGUGGGAAGGCAGUGGAAACUGGCAAGCUAGAGGCUGGUAGGGGUAAAGGGAAUUCCCGGUGUAGCGGUGAAAUGCGUA
RNAcentral lists this ribosomal RNA (619 nucleotides) under uncultured bacterium. Its description in RNAcentral is "bacterial SSU rRNA". It matches the Rfam family "Bacterial small subunit ribosomal RNA", at positions 28 to 692 of the family's 1533-position model. The record is from RNAcentral.